This 343-nucleotide long non-coding RNA is filed under the name Mus pahari (shrew mouse). Its description in RNAcentral is "lncRNA (MGP_PahariEiJ_G0002980.1)". Lineage: Eukaryota; Metazoa; Chordata; Mammalia; Rodentia; Muridae. The record is from RNAcentral.
AGCUGCCGGGAAGCACAUUUCUUAAGAGAGUUAACAGAUCAUCUCCGGAGAAGUGGGCAAGGCAGGCGUAGGCAGAACACAAACACACACAGACAUUCCCGAUUCCUGCCCCAGGAAGGAUGCGGCCAGCGUAGGUGACACGUCUGCAGUGUCUCCUUCGUGACGUCCAGCUAUAGGGAGCUGCUAUGGUCGUUCAUCAGCUGCCCCAGGAUGUCUGGAACCUUCCAUUUCACCAUCCAUUUGUAAACUGGCACAUCUUCCCUUGCCUUCCAUGCUGCAGCCUGAACUCCAUCCUUCAGCUUCCACACACACAUUAAAGCCAACCCCAGUUUCAUCCUCAAAA